GACGAACGCUGGCGGCGUGCUUAACACACGCAAGUCGAACGGAAAGGCCCUGCUUUUGUGGGGUGCUCGAGUGGCGAACGGGUGAGUAACACGUGAGUAACCUGCCCUUGACUUUGGGAUAACUUCAGGAAACUGGGGCUAAUACCGGAUAGGAGCUCCUGCUGCAUGGUGGGGGUUGGAAAGUUUCGGCGGUUGGGGAUGGACUCGCGGCUUAUCAGCUUGUUGGUGGGGUAGUGGCUUACCAAGGCUUUGACGGGUAGCCGGCCUGAGAGGGUGACCGGCCACAUUGGGACUGAGAUACGGCCCAGACUCCUACGGGAGGCAGCAGUGGGGAAUAUUGCACAAUGGGCGGAAGCCUGAUGCAGCAACGCCGCGUUCGGGAUGACGGCCUUCGGGUUGUAAACCGCUUUCGCCUGUGACGAAGCGUGAGUGACGGUAAUGGGUAAAGAAGCACCGGCUAACUACGUG
This 468-nucleotide ribosomal RNA is filed under the name uncultured bacterium. Its description in RNAcentral is "partial 16S ribosomal RNA". It matches the Rfam family "Bacterial small subunit ribosomal RNA", at positions 28 to 507 of the family's 1533-position model. The record is from RNAcentral.